Long non-coding RNA from Lathyrus oleraceus (garden pea), 459 nucleotides. RefSeq lists it as uncharacterized. NCBI's taxonomy places the organism in Eukaryota, Viridiplantae, Streptophyta, Magnoliopsida, Fabales, Fabaceae. The record is from RefSeq and is a predicted model, not a curated record. The transcript has 2 exons.
AGAAAAAGAAGGAAAAGUGGAUAAGAAGAAGAGAAAGAAAGAAAAACCAGUAAAGAAAGAAACAAAAGAAAGAAGAGGAAGGAAAGAAGCCACCACCACCACCAUCAUGUCAUCUUCAUCUUCAUCAUCAUCAUCACCAUUUUCUACUCAUGAUCUUCACCAUCUUCAAGUGUUAGAGGUAUUCCUUGCAGGUUGAAUCUAAGAGAAGUUGUCUAUGGAUGUUUCAAGGGACACAAUUAUUCUGAUCUUCCGCUGUGGAGUUGUGUGCAAUGAAGAUAUUGCACAUAGUUCUUAGAUUUUUAUUGUUUAGGCAUUAUUGUAUAACAUGUUCCAUUGAUGUUUUCAUAUUCGGACAUGUAUAUAUAUUGAUGCCAUUAGGCACUUAUGUUGGAUCAGUACCAAUUACUAACACUUGUAUGAUAUUAUUCUAGGUAUAUAUUAUAUGGGUUGUUACAUGCA